Molecule: ribosomal RNA, 497 nt
Filed under: uncultured bacterium
Lineage: Bacteria
Description: partial 16S ribosomal RNA
Rfam family: Bacterial small subunit ribosomal RNA
Source: RNAcentral
GACGAACGCUGGCGGCGUGCCUAAUACAUGCAAGUAGAACGCUGAAGAGAGGAGCUUGCUCUUCUUGGAUGAGUUGCGAACGGGUGAGUAACGCGUAGGUAACCUGCCUUGUAGCGGGGGAUAACUAUUGGAAACGAUAGCUAAUACCGCAUAACAAUAGGUGACACAUGUCAUUUAUUUGAAAGGGGCAAUUGCUCCACUACAAGAUGGACCUGCGUUGUAUUAGCUAGUAGGUGAGGUAACGGCUCACCUAGGCGACGAUACAUAGCCGACCUGAGAGGGUGAGCGGCCACACUGGGACUGAGACACGGCCCAGACUCCUACGGGAGGCAGCAGUAGGGAAUCUUCGGCAAUGGGGGCAACCCUGACCGAGCAACGCCGCGUGAGUGAAGAAGGUUUUCGGAUCGUAAAGCUCUGUUGUAAGUCAAGAACGAGUGUGAGAGUGGAAAGUUCACACUGUGACGGUAGCUUACCAGAAAGGGACGGCUAACUACGUG